RNAcentral lists this ribosomal RNA (468 nucleotides) under uncultured bacterium. RNAcentral's name for it is "partial 16S ribosomal RNA". It matches the Rfam family "Bacterial small subunit ribosomal RNA", at positions 28 to 507 of the family's 1533-position model. The record is from RNAcentral.
GACGAACGCUGGCGGCGUGCUUAACACAUGCAAGUCGAACGGAAAGGCCCUGCUUUUGUGGGGUGCUCGAGUGGCGAACGGGUGAGUAACACGUGAGUAACCUGCCCUUGACUUUGGGAUAACUUCAGGAAACUGGGGCUAAUACCGGAUAGGAGCUCCUGCUGCAUGUUGGGGGUUGGAAAGUUUCGGCGGUUGGGGAUGGACUGGCGGCUUAUCAGCUUGUUGGUGGGGUAGUGGCUUACCAAGGCUUUGACGGGUAGCCGGCCUGAGAGGGUGACCGGCCACAUUGGGACUGAGAUACGGCCCAGACUCCUACGGGAGGCAGCAGUGGGGAAUAUUGCACAAUGGGCGGAAGCCUGAUGCAGCAACGCCGCGUGCGGGAUGACGGCCUUCGGGUUGUAAACCGCUUUCGCCUGUGACGAAGCGUGAGUGACGGUAAUGGGUAAAGAAGCACCGGCUAACUACGUG